AGGCGGCGGGCGGGAAGGAUGGUGUUUCUGUGGCCGGAGCAGCGGGUGCGGACCAGGAUCCGGGCUGCGGUUUGGCUGAAGCGACGUGUGCUUGGGAGCAGCCGGCGCGGGUGUCGCUGAGGCAGCGGACGGACGGACAGACGGACGAGGCGAUCCGAGAACUUGUCCUGGGGCCGCGGCGGAGGCGAGAUGCUGGGGCCGCCCGCGCUGCUGCUGCUCCUGGCCGCCGGCGGUGCCCGGGCCGCGCCGCUCCCGCAGACAGGUGCAGGGGAGGCACCUGCUGCAGAAGUUUCCUCAUCUUUUGUGAUCCUAUCUGUGGGCAGUUUAAUGUUAUUAAUAGUGUUAAUUGUAAACUGUGUAUCCUGCUGUAAGGACCCAGAAAUAGAUUUUAAGGAAUUUGAAGAUAAUUUUGAUGAUGAGAUAGAUUUCACACCACCAGCCGAAGAUACUCCCUCUGUUCAAUCUCCAGCAGAAGUUUUCACACUUUCAGUGCCAAAUAUUUCACUACCAGCUCCAUCGCAGUUCCAGCCUU
Manis javanica (Malayan pangolin) is the source of this 532-nucleotide non-coding RNA. The record is from RefSeq and is a predicted model, not a curated record. NCBI's taxonomy places the organism in Eukaryota, Metazoa, Chordata, Mammalia, Pholidota, Manidae.